RNAcentral lists this unclassified non-coding RNA (589 nucleotides) under Penicillium griseofulvum. RNAcentral's name for it is "sequence contains 18S rRNA gene, ITS1, 5.8S rRNA gene, ITS2, 28S rRNA gene". The stretch from base 219 to 371 matches the Rfam family "5.8S ribosomal RNA". Lineage: Eukaryota; Fungi; Ascomycota; Eurotiomycetes; Eurotiales; Aspergillaceae. The record is from RNAcentral.
UCGUAACAAGGUUUCCGUAGGUGAACCUGCGGAAGGAUCAUUACUGAGUGAGGGCCCUCUGGGUCCAACCUCCCACCCGUGUUUAUUUACCUUGUUGCUUCGGCGGGCCCGCCUUAACUGGCCGCCGGGGGGCUUACGCCCCCGGGCCCGCGCCCGCCGAAGACACCCUCGAACUCUGUCUGAAGAUUGUAGUCUGAGUGAAAAUAUAAAUUAUUUAAAACUUUCAACAACGGAUCUCUUGGUUCCGGCAUCGAUGAAGAACGCAGCGAAAUGCGAUACGUAAUGUGAAUUGCAAAUUCAGUGAAUCAUCGAGUCUUUGAACGCACAUUGCGCCCCCUGGUAUUCCGGGGGGCAUGCCUGUCCGAGCGUCAUUGCUGCCCUCAAGCACGGCUUGUGUGUUGGGCCCCGUCCUCCGAUUCCGGGGGACGGGCCCGAAAGGCAGCGGCGGCACCGCGUCCGGUCCUCGAGCGUAUGGGGCUUUGUCACCCGCUCUGUAGGCCCGGCCGGCGCUUGCCGAUCAACCCAAAUUUUUAUCCAGGUUGACCUCGGAUCAGGUAGGGAUACCCGCUGAACUUAAGCAUAUCAAUAA